Molecule: ribosomal RNA, 496 nt
Filed under: uncultured bacterium
Lineage: Bacteria
Description: partial 16S ribosomal RNA
Rfam family: Bacterial small subunit ribosomal RNA
Source: RNAcentral
GAUGAACGCUGGCGGCGUGCCUAAUACAUGCAAGUCGAGCGAACAGACGAGGAGCUUGCUCCUCUGACGUUAGCGGCGGACGGGUGAGUAACACGUGGAUAACCUACCUAUAAGACUGGGAUAACUUCGGGAAACCGGAGCUAAUACCGGAUAAUAUAUUGAACCGCAUGGUUCAAUAGUGAGAGACGGUUUUGCUGUCACUUAUAGAUGGAUCCGCGCCGCAUUAGCUAGUUGGUAAGGUAACGGCUUACCAAGGCAACGAUGCGUAGCCGACCUGAGAGGGUGAUCGGCCACACUGGAACUGAGACACGGUCCAGACUCCUACGGGAGGCAGCAGUAGGGAAUCUUCCGCAAUAGGCGAAAGCCUGACGGAGCAACGCCGCGUGAGUGAUGAAGGUCUUCGGAUCGUAAAACUCUGUUAUUAGGGAAGAACAAAUGUGUAAGUAACUAUGCACGUCUUGACGGUACCUAAGCAGAAAGCCACGGCUAACUACGU